Aphis gossypii (cotton aphid) is the source of this 1209-nucleotide long non-coding RNA. RefSeq lists it as uncharacterized. NCBI's taxonomy places the organism in Eukaryota, Metazoa, Arthropoda, Insecta, Hemiptera, Aphididae. The transcript is spliced from 2 exons. The record is from RefSeq and is a predicted model, not a curated record.
GGUGUGGCAUCCUCUUAAAUCUGUUUUGGACAAACUGUUUAAAAUGAAAAAAUUAUACCUAUAUUAUUAUAACUUUUACAUAAUAUUAUAUUGUAGGCGUGUAUGUGUAUCCGCAAUGGCUGUCCUCGUGUUUCGAUUAUUAUUUAUGUUAUAUUUCGUACAGACCACGAUGUGAUACACGAACUGCCUCAUUUGAAGAAAAGAGCUGCGAGAAAUUUAAAAUAAACAGUAAAAUGAUUAAAUGCAAAUAUUGCAUUGGUAAAAUAUGCAUAAUAUUAUAAUAAUUGUUAUUUAUUUAUUUAAUGAUAGAUUGAAACUUGUUUACUACAAUAAAAUAUUUCGAUAAGAAUUAAUUUUAAACACGUUAUACAACCAUAAUAGGUAUACUAUAUAAUGUAGGUACACAUUAUUGUGGUAUAUUACAAUGAAUGCAUACAAUAUUUUGAAGUUUUGAACCUUAUGUAAAAAUUAUUUUCUUAUUAUUAUGUGUUAUUUUUUAAACAUUUAAACGUAUGAGUACGACACGAUUAUGAGUCAUAUUUAUCACAUAAUAAGGUGAGGUCACAAGACUUAUACGUUGACUUGGAUUUAAUUUGUCCAACAAAAAUGCAAUAUUAUAUGGACGUGAAAAAAAAAUUAUAUUUACACUCACGUCUCUACUGAACUUCCAUAAAAAUAUAUACUAAAGUAUAUUAUAUUUAUACUUAAUAGGUAUUAGGCAUAUAUUAUUAUUUAAACAACGUAAUUUAUCCAAAAAACAUAAUAUUAUAGGUGGUACAUAAAUCAAAUUCCAAUAACUUUUCUAACCUUACCUAACCUGGCUAAUCUUAAUGUAAAAUUUAUUUAAAAUCAUCUAAAUAUUUAAACAAGAAAGUAGAAACUGUACAUUCGUUAAAGAGAGUCAGUUAAAAAACGUAUUUGUGUUAUAAUAUUUAUUAUCUUGAUAAGUGAACAACGAUGCAUGUAUACGAAAUGUGUGUGUACCUUUAUCUUUGUAUACCUACUUGUUACUUCAUAUGUUUAUAAAAUAUUGUCAUGAAUAUAUUAAAAGAAACUCGUCUUUUUAUAUAGAUUUUAUUUUCUUAGUAUUCUAACUAGUCACGGCCGUGGUGUGCUGUAUUCACAAACUUUAUGUCAUAUGUGUUUAACAUUUGUACAUUAAAUAUAAUGGUUGUUAAAAAAUCAAAUAUAUACCUACUCGCAUUAGAA